This 445-nucleotide ribosomal RNA is filed under the name uncultured bacterium. Its description in RNAcentral is "partial 16S ribosomal RNA". It matches the Rfam family "Bacterial small subunit ribosomal RNA", at positions 354 to 796 of the family's 1533-position model. The record is from RNAcentral.
GUAAGGAAUAUUGGUCAAUGGACGCAAGUCUGAUCCAGCCAUGCCGCGUGAAGGAUUAAGGUCCUCUGGAUUGUAAACUUCUUUUAUAAGGGACGAAAAAAGGCUUUUCUAAGUCGUCUGACGGUACCUUAUGAAUAAGCACCGGCUAACUCCGUGCCAGCAGCCGCGGUAAUACGGAGGGUGCAAGCGUUAUCCGGAUUCACUGGGUUUAAAGGGUGCGUAGGCGGGCAGGUAAGUCAGUGGUGAAAUCCUAGAGCUUAACUCUAGAACUGCCAUUGAUACUAUCUGUCUUGAAUAUUGUGGAGGUAAGCGGAAUAUGUCAUGUAGCGGUGAAAUGCUUAGAUAUGACAUAGAACACCUAUUGCGAAGGCAGCUUACUACGCAUAUAUUGACGCUGAGGCACGAAAGCGUGGGGAUCAAACAGGAUUAGAAACCCCAGUAGUCC